AUUGAACGCUGGCGGCAUGCCUUACACAUGCAAGUCGAGCGGCAGCGCGGGGGCAACCCUGGCGGCGAGCGGCGGACGGGUGAGUAAUACAUCGGAACGUGUCCUUUCGUGGGGGAUAACCAGUCGAAAGACUGGCUAAUACCGCAUGAGAUCUCACGAUGAAAGCGAGGGACCGCAAGGCCUCGCGCGAUUGGAGCGGCCGAUGUCGGAUUAGCUAGUUGGCGGGGUAAAACGCCCACCAAGGCUACGAUCCGUAGCUUGGUUUGAGAGGACGACCAGCCACACUGGGACUGAGACACGGCCCAGACUCCUAC
This 314-nucleotide ribosomal RNA is filed under the name uncultured bacterium. RNAcentral's name for it is "bacterial SSU rRNA". It matches the Rfam family "Bacterial small subunit ribosomal RNA", at positions 30 to 342 of the family's 1533-position model. The record is from RNAcentral.